GAGAUUCGUGGCGCAAUGGUAACGCGUCUGACUCCAGAUCAGAAGGUUGCAUGUUCGAUUCACGUCGAGUUCA
Molecule: transfer RNA, 73 nt
Filed under: Marchantia polymorpha subsp. ruderalis
Lineage: Eukaryota; Viridiplantae; Streptophyta; Marchantiopsida; Marchantiales; Marchantiaceae
Description: tRNA-Trp
Rfam family: tRNA
About the family: Transfer RNA (tRNA) molecules are approximately 80 nucleotides in length.
Source: RNAcentral